This 253-nucleotide ribosomal RNA is filed under the name uncultured bacterium. RNAcentral describes it as "partial 16S ribosomal RNA". It matches the Rfam family "Bacterial small subunit ribosomal RNA", at positions 524 to 776 of the family's 1533-position model. The record is from RNAcentral.
UACGUAGGUGGCAAGCGUUGUCCGGAAUUAUUGGGCGUAAAGCGCGCGCAGGCGGUCCUUUAAGUCUGAUGUGAAAGCCCACGGCUCAACCGUGGAGGGUCAUUGGAAACUGGGGGACUUGAGUGCAGGAGAGAAGAGUGGAAUUCCACGUGUAGCGGUGAAAUGCGUAGAGAUGUGGAGGAACACCAGUGGCGAAGGCGAUCAUCUGGGGUUGUUCUGACACUGAGGAGCGAAAGCUAGGGGAGCAAACGGG